GGAUGAGCCCGCGGCCUAUCAGCUCGUUGGUGAGGUAACGGCUCACCAAGGCGAUGACGGGUAGCUGGCGUGAGAGCGCGAUCAGCCACACUGGGACUGGGACACGGCCCAGACUCCUACGGGAGGCAGCAGUGGGGAAUCUUGCACAAUGGGCGAAAGCCUGAUGCAGCGACGCCGCGUGGGGGAGGAAGGCCCUAGGGUUGUAAACCCCUGUCAGGCGGGAAGAAACUCGGGUCGGCGAACAGUCGGUCCGAUUGACGGUACCGCCAGAGGAAGCUCCGGCUAACUCCGUGCCAGCAGCCGCGGUAAAACGGAGGGAGCGAGCGUUGUCCGGAAUUACUGGGCGUAAAGGGCGCGUAGGCGGCCGCGUGAGUCGUAUGUGAAAGGCCAGGGCUUAACCCCGGCACUGCAUGCGAUACUGCGUGGCUAGAGACAGGCAGGGGCGAGCGGAAUUCCCGGUGUAGCGGUGGAAUGCGUAGAUAUCGGGAGGAACACCCGUGGCGAAGGCGGCUCGCUGGGCCUCGUCUGACGCUGAAGCGCGAAAGCGUGGGGAGCGAACAGGAUUAGAUACCCUGGUAGUCCACGCCGUAAACGCUGGGUACUAGAUGUCGGGGGGCUUGGCCCCCUCGGUGUCGCAGCUAACGCAUUAAGUACCCCGCCUGGGGAGUACGG
This 672-nucleotide ribosomal RNA is filed under the name uncultured Bacillus sp. Its description in RNAcentral is "bacterial SSU rRNA". It matches the Rfam family "Bacterial small subunit ribosomal RNA", at positions 223 to 885 of the family's 1533-position model. The record is from RNAcentral. Lineage: Bacteria; Bacillati; Bacillota; Bacilli; Caryophanales; Bacillaceae.